GUACACAAAAAUGCACAUGCUGUGAGCUCGAUGAGUAGGGCGGGACACGUGGUAUCCUGUCUGAAUAUGGGGGGACCAUCCUCCAAGGCUAAAUACUCCUGACUGACCGAUAGUGAACCAGUACCGUGAGGGAAAGGCGAAAAGAACCCCGGCGAGGGGAGUGAAAAAGAACCUGAAACCGUGUACGUACAAGCAGUGGGAGCACGCUUAGGCGUGUGACUGCGUACCUUUUGUAUAAUGGGUCAGCGACUUAUAUUCUGUAGCAAGGUUAACCGAAUAGGGGAGCCGAAGGGAAACCGAGUCUUAACUGGGCGUUAAGUUGCAGGGUAUAGACCCGAAACCCGGUGAUCUAGCCAUGGGCAGGUUGAAGGUUGGGUAACACUAACUGGAGGACCGAACCGACUAAUGUUGAAAAAUUAGCGGAUGACUUGUGGCUGGGGGUGAAAGGCCAAUCAAACCGGGAGAUAGCUGGUUCUCCCCGAAAGCUAUUUAGGUAGCGCCUCGUGAAUUCAUCUCCGGGGGUAGAGCACUGUUUCGGCAAGGGGGUCAUCCCGACUUACCAACCCGAUGCAAACUGCGAAUACCGGAGAAUGUUAUCACGGGAGACACACGGCGGGUGCUAACGUCCGUCGUGAAGAGGGAAACAACCCAGACCGCCAGCUAAGGUCCCAAAGUCAUGGUUAAGUGGGAAACGAUGUGGGAAGGCCCAGACAGCCAGGAUGUUGGCUUAGAAGCAGCCAUCAUUUAAAGAAAGCGUAAUAGCUCACUGGUCGAGUCGGCCUGCGCGGAAGAUGUAACGGGGCUAAACCAUGCACCGAAGCUGCGGCAGCGACGCUUAUGCGUUGUUGGGUAGGGGAGCGUUCUGUAAGCCUGUGAAGGUGUACUGUGAGGUAUGCUGGAGGUAUCAGAAGUGCGAAUGCUGACAUAAGUAACGAUAAAGCGGGUGAAAAGCCCGCUCGCCGGAAGACCAAGGGUUCCUGUCCAACGUUAAUCGGGGCAGGGUGAGUCGACCCCUAAGGCGAGGCCGAAAGGCGUAGUCGAUGGGAAACAGGUUAAUAUUCCUGUACUUGGUGUUACUGCGAAGGGGGGACGGAGAAGGCUAUGUUGGCCGGGCGACGGUUGUCCCGGUUUAAGCGUGUAGGCUGGUUUUCCAGGCAAAUCCGGAAAAUCAAGGCUGAGGCGUGAUGACGAGGCACUACGGUGCUGAAGCAACAAAUGCCCUGCUUCCAGGAAAAGCCUCUAAGCAUCAGGUAACAUCAAAUCGUACCCCAAACCGACACAGGUGGUCAGGUAGAGAAUACCAAGGCGCUUGAGAGAACUCGGGUGAAGGAACUAGGCAAAAUGGUGCCGUAACUUCGGGAGAAGGCACGCUGAUAUGUAGGUGAAGCGACUUGCUCGUGGAGCUGAAAUCAGUCGAAGAUACCAGCUGGCUGCAACUGUUUAUUAAAAACACAGCACUGUGCAAACACGAAAGUGGACGUAUACGGUGUGACGCCUGCCCGGUGCCGGAAGGUUAAUUGAUGGGGUCAGCGCAAGCGAAGCUCUUGAUCGAAGCCCCGGUAAACGGCGGCCGUAACUAUAACGGUCCUAAGGUAGCGAAAUUCCUUGUCGGGUAAGUUCCGACCUGCACGAAUGGCGUAAUGAUGGCCAGGCUGUCUCCACCCGAGACUCAGUGAAAUUGAACUCGCUGUGAAGAUGCAGUGUACCCGCGGCAAGACGGAAAGACCCCGUGAACCUUUACUAUAGCUUGACACUGAACAUUGAGCCUUGAUGUGUAGGAUAGGUGGGAGGCUUGGAAGUGUGGACGCCAGUCUGCAUGGAGCCGACCUUGAAAUACCACCCUUUAAUGUUUGAUGUUCUAACGUUGACCCGUAAUCCGGGUUGCGGACAGUGUCUGGUGGGUAGUUUGACUGGGGCGGUCUCCUCCUAAAGAGUAACGGAGGAGCACGAAGGUUGGCUAAUCCUGGUCGGACAUCAGGAGGUUAGUGCAAUGGCAUAAGCCAGCUUGACUGCGAGCGUGACGGCGCGAGCAGGUGCGAAAGCAGGUCAUAGUGAUCCGGUGGUUCUGAAUGGAAGGGCCAUCGCUCAACGGAUAAAAGGUACUCCGGGGAUAACAGGCUGAUACCGCCCAAGAGUUCAUAUCGACGGCGGUGUUUGGCACCUCGAUGUCGGCUCAUCACAUCCUGGGGCUGAAGUAGGUCCCAAGGGUAUGGCUGUUCGCCAUUUAAAGUGGUACGCGAGCUGGGUUUAGAACGUCGUGAGACAGUUCGGUCCCUAUCUGCCGUGGGCGCUGGAGAACUGAGGGGGGCUGCUCCUAGUACGAGAGGACCGGAGUGGACGCAUCACUGGUGUUCGGGUUGUCAUGCCAAUGGCACUGCCCGGUAGCUAAAUGCGGAAGAGAUAAGUGCUGAAAGCAUCUAAGCACGAAACUUGCCCCGAGAUGAGUUCUCCCUGAGACUUUAAGUCUCCUGAAGGAACGU
RNAcentral lists this ribosomal RNA (2480 nucleotides) under Escherichia coli. RNAcentral's name for it is "partial 23S ribosomal RNA". It matches the Rfam family "Bacterial large subunit ribosomal RNA", at positions 375 to 2838 of the family's 2925-position model. The record is from RNAcentral. RNAcentral also lists the same sequence under 1 other name. Lineage: Bacteria; Pseudomonadati; Pseudomonadota; Gammaproteobacteria; Enterobacterales; Enterobacteriaceae.